GUGGGGAAUAUUGGACAAUGGGCGCAAGCCUGAUCCAGCAAUGCCGCGUGGGUGAAGAAGGCCUUCGGGUUGUAAAGCCCUUUUGUACGGGAAGAAAUCAUUCGGGGUAAUACCCUGGGUGGAUGACGGUACCGUAAGAAUAAGCACCGGCUAACUUCGUGCCAGCAGCCGCGGUAAUACGAAGGGUGCAAGCGUUAAUCGGAAUUACUGGGCGUAAAGCGUGCGUAGGUGGUUGUUCAAGUCUGUCGUGAAAGCCCUGGGCUCAACCUGGGAAUGGCGAUGGAAACUGGGCGACUAGAGUGCGGUAGAGGAUGGCGGAAUUCCCGGUGUAGCGGUGAAAUGCGUAGAGAUCGGGAGGAACAUCCGUGGCGAAGGCGGCCAUCUGGACCAGCACUGACACUGAGGCACGAAAGCGUGGGGAGCAAACAGGAUUAGAUACCCUAGUAGUCC
This 450-nucleotide ribosomal RNA is filed under the name uncultured bacterium. Its description in RNAcentral is "partial 16S ribosomal RNA". It matches the Rfam family "Bacterial small subunit ribosomal RNA", at positions 354 to 796 of the family's 1533-position model. The record is from RNAcentral.